UCUUAUAAAAAUCCUGUCUGAGGUCACUCUCCCCGGGCUCUGUCCUCGUGGCCUAGGGGAGCAUAGGGCUCUGCCCAAUGGUGUAUAGUACCUUUUCACAAUGUUGAAUAUGAAGCCAGGCUUCCCAGAGUCCUGUGAACAGUGACUAGGGAGAUAAACCAUGCAGAA
RNAcentral lists this small nucleolar RNA (168 nucleotides) under Dipodomys ordii (Ord's kangaroo rat). RNAcentral's name for it is "Small nucleolar RNA SNORA73 family (ENSDORG00000021723.2)". The record is from Rfam by way of RNAcentral. Lineage: Eukaryota; Metazoa; Chordata; Mammalia; Rodentia; Heteromyidae.